UGGGGAAUUUUGGACAAUGGGCGAAAGCCUGAUCCAGCAAUGCCGCGUGUGUGAAGAAGGCCUUCGGGUUGUAAAGCACUUUUGUCCGGAAAGAAAUCCUUGGCUCUAAUACAGUCGGGGGAUGACGGUACCGGAAGAAUAAGCACCGGCUAACUACGUGCCAGCAGCCGCGGUAAUACGUAGGGUGCAAGCGUUAAUCGGAAUUACUGGGCGUAAAGCGUGCGCAGGCGGUUUGCUAAGACCGAUGUGAAAUCCCCGGGCUCAACCUGGGAACUGCAUUGGUGACUGGCAGGCUAGAGUAUGGCAGAGGGGGGUAGAAUUCCACGUGCAGCAGUGAAAUGCGUAGAGAUGUGGAGGAAUACCGAUGGCGAAGGCAGCCCCCUGGGCCAAUACUGACGCUCAUGCACGAAAGCGUGGGGAGCAAACAGGAUUAGAUACCCUGGUAGUCCACGCCCUAAACGAUGUCAACUAGUUGUUGGGGACUUCAUUUUCCUUAGUAACGUAGCUAACGCGUGAAGUUGACCGCCUGGGGAGUACGGUCGCAAGAUU
RNAcentral lists this ribosomal RNA (549 nucleotides) under uncultured bacterium. RNAcentral describes it as "partial 16S ribosomal RNA". It matches the Rfam family "Bacterial small subunit ribosomal RNA", at positions 355 to 895 of the family's 1533-position model. The record is from RNAcentral.